AGCGCGUUGGCAGAAUAGUGCAACUGAUUUAGGAUCAGUUUAUGGAAUAAAGCCACACGCUA
Molecule: transfer RNA, 62 nt
Filed under: Duplodicodrilus acinctus
Lineage: Eukaryota; Metazoa; Annelida; Clitellata; Crassiclitellata; Megascolecidae
Description: tRNA-Leu1
Source: RNAcentral